Molecule: small RNA, 26 nt
Filed under: Bombyx mori (domestic silkworm)
Lineage: Eukaryota; Metazoa; Arthropoda; Insecta; Lepidoptera; Bombycidae
Description: ovarian small RNA-35282
Source: RNAcentral
UGUAAAGCUAAAAUCAAGUUUGUGGG